Molecule: unclassified non-coding RNA, 339 nt
Filed under: soil metagenome
Description: partial contains 5.8S ribosomal RNA, internal transcribed spacer 2, and large subunit ribosomal RNA
Rfam family: 5.8S ribosomal RNA (bases 1-120)
Source: RNAcentral
GAUGAAGAACGCAGCGAAAUGCGAUAAGUAAUGUGAAUUGCAGAAUUCCGUGAAUCAUCGAGUCUUUGAACGCACAUUGCGCCCCCUGGUAUUCCGGGGGGCAUGCCUGUCCGAGCGUCAUUGCUGCCCUCAAGCACGGCUUGUGUGUUGGGCUCCGUCCCCCCGGGGACGGGCCCGAAAGGCAGCGGCGGCACCGAGUCCGGUCCUCGAGCGUAUGGGGCUUUGUCACCCGCUCUGUAGGCCCGGCCGGCGCCAGCCGACAACCCAUCAUCCUUUUCAGGUUGACCUCGGAUCAGGUAGGGAUACCCGCUGAACUUAAGCAUAUCAAUAAGCGGAGGA